GGCUAAACCAUGCACCGAAGCUGCGGCAGCGACACUAUGUGUUGUUGGGUAGGGGAGCGUUCUGUAAGCCUGUGAAGGUGUGCUGUGAGGCAUGCUGGAGGUAUCAGAAGUGCGAAUGCUGACAUAAGUAACGAUAAAGCGGGUGAAAAGCCCGCUCGCCGGAAGACCAAGGGUUCCUGUCCAACGUUAAUCGGGGCAGGGUGAGUCGACCCCUAAGGCGAGGCCGAAAGGCGUAGUCGAUGGGAAACAGGUUAAUAUUCCUGUACUUGGUGUUACUGCGAAGGGGGGACGGAGAAGGCUAUGUUGGCCGGGCGACGGUUGUCCCGGUUUAAGCGUGUAGGCUGAUUUUCCAGGCAAAUCCGGAAAAUCAAGGCUGAGGCGUGAUGACGAGGCACUACGGUGCUGAAGCAACAAAUGCCCUGCUUCCAGGAAAAGCCUCUAAGCAUCAGGUAACAUCAAAUCGUACCCCAAACCGACACAGGUGGUCAGGUAGAGAAUACCAAGGCGCUUGAGAGAACUCGGGUGAAGGAACUAGGCAAAAUGGUGCCGUAACUUCGGGAGAAGGCACGCUGAUAUGUAGGUGAAGCGACUUGCUCGUGGAGCUGAAAUCAGUCGAAGAUACCAGCUGGCUGCAACUGUUUAUUAAAAACACAGCACUGUGCAAACACGAAAGUGGACGUAUACGGUGUGACGCCUGCCCGGUGCCGGAAGGUUAAUUGAUGGGGUUAGCGGUAACGCGAAGCUCUUGAUCGAAGCCCCGGUAAACGGCGGCCGUAACUAUAACGGUCCUAAGGUAGCGAAAUUCCUUGUCGGGUAAGUUCCGACCUGCACGAAUGGCGUAAUGAUGGCCAGGCUGUCUCCACCCGAGACUCAGUGAAAUUGAACUCGCUGUGAAGAUGCAGUGUACCCGCGGCAAGACGGAAAGACCCCGUGAACCUUUACUAUAGCUUGACACUGAACAUUGAGCCUUGAUGUGUAGGAUAGGUGGGAGGCUUUGAAGUGUGGACGCCAGUCUGCAUGGAGCCGACCUUGAAAUACCACCCUUUAAUGUUUGAUGUUCUAACGUUGGCCCGUUAUCCGGGUUGCGGACAGUGUCUGGUGGGUAGUUUGACUGGGGCGGUCUCCUCCUAAAGAGUAACGGAGGAGCACGAAGGUUGGCUAAUCCUGGUCGGACAUCAGGAGGUUAGUGCAAUGGCAUAAGCCAGCUUGACUGCGAGCGUGACGGCGCGAGCAGGUGCGAAAGCAGGUCAUAGUGAUCCGGUGGUUCUGAAUGGAAGGGCCAUCGCUCAACGGAUAAAAGGUACUCCGGGGAUAACAGGCUGAUACCGCCCAAGAGUUCAUAUCGACGGCGGUGUUUGGCACCUCGAUGUCGGCUCAUCACAUCCUGGGGCUGAAGUAGGUCCCAAGGGUAUGGCUGUUCGCCAUUUAAAGUGGUACGCGAGCUGGGUUUAGAACGUCGUGAGACAGUUCGGUCCCUAUCUGCCGUGGGCGCUGGAGAACUGAGGGGGGCUGCUCCUAGUACGAGAGGACCGGAGUGGACGCAUCACUGGUGUUCGGGUUGUCAUGCCAAUGGCACUGCCCGGUAGCUAAAUGCGGAAGAGAUAAGUGCUGAAAGCAUCUAAGCACGAAACUUGCCCCG
Molecule: ribosomal RNA, 1639 nt
Filed under: Escherichia coli
Lineage: Bacteria; Pseudomonadati; Pseudomonadota; Gammaproteobacteria; Enterobacterales; Enterobacteriaceae
Description: partial 23S ribosomal RNA
Rfam family: Bacterial large subunit ribosomal RNA
Source: RNAcentral